AUGAAACCUAACAUUUCAAUAAACCCUAAGCCUUCUUCCUACAGUGCUUGCUUCCAAUAUUUAUGGACAGUAAAUGUCUUCCCAGGCAUCCUUCUCUCGUACCAGGACAUCGCCUGCAGCGGUUUCCCGAGGUUCCCCGUGUGUGUUCUCUCCACAUCAGCACCAAGGAGGAAAGACCUGGGGACAACGUGCAGAAAAGAGCAAUUCCACAUCCUUUGGGACAAGGGGUUAGGCUUUGCCUUGUGUCAGAGGUCCUGGACAGCCUUCAGAAGAGAUCCAGAACUCCAGCAUGCCUGCACACAGACAUUUACUGGCAAGCCACAGUGGAAGCAAAAUCACAUUCAAGUGCACUUUAUGCAGCUACAGCCCUAAGGACAUGCAGGUAAGACUCCAAAAUGCCAGGUUUGGGUCACAAUUACAUCACUGCUGCACAGAACACCUUCAUCACAUCUGAUUUUAACACUGACAAAAGAGCAAAACACACCAUCCCAUUUAAUAUUUGUUCAAGUGAACGUUAAAAGUUUUCCACAAUAACUUCUCCAUCCAGAGCACAAAAUAGCUGUGCUAACACAGAAGCUCAGGAGGCAAUUAGAUAGUCUGAGAGGAUUUUUGUGAUAAACCAUCUGAAAACUUUUUCUACACUACACAAACAUACUUUUCAUGAUAAUACAUUAUGUUAUUUCCAGUGAAGUAGUCUCAUUUGAGGUGCAUGUUUGAUAAGAGAGCAUUUUUCAAUUACAAGAAUAUCAUGAUAAGAAAACAAAUAUGUGUUAGUUGAAAAAGGCCAAAGGGGCAUGAAAUUUUCAUUCAGCUUUUAAAAGGAAGGAAACUGAGUAUUCUAAGUAAACUGGACCACAUUUUAGAAGGUGGUGACUACUCAGAAAGUAUUAAGAGUUAAGUUCAGCCUCUAAAGACUGCUGACAUUCUUGAUCAGAAGUCUGCAGGGGUGGUAGGUUGUCUUUGGAAUUUUUUUUUAAAAAACAGUAGCAGGCAAAAAUUUCCUAAUACUGACUCUUUUUUUACUCCUAGACCAAAGCUCCUGUCAGCACACACACAGAAUGUGAGCCUCAGCUUGUCAUUUGGGCUGAUAUUCCCUUGCCUUCUCCCAUUGCUGAAACCACUUGUAUUUCUGCAUUUCCCCCUCUGUAACACUUGCCCCAGAACUGGCUCACCAAAGCUAACCUCAGGAGGAUCUGCCCAUUUGCUGCAAACACAGAUAGGAAAUAUUUACUGAUAUUUAAGUGCCUGUGAGUGCCAGUUAUUCUGAUACCAGUUGUGAAUAUUUUGCUGCAGAUGACAAGUGCACUCAUUCCAAUUCAAAAUACACCACACCAAAGGCUACAUUCUUAUUUUCAGCAUCUGUUAAUAAGGGGUUUCUGUGCAUCAUAUUUUUCUGAUUUACCAUUCUUUCUAGUUUUCUAUAUUCUCCUAGACAUUGUUCAGCUAUAUAACAAGUAUCACUUGAGUUAGAUGCUCUGGAAAGGAUCACAAUUAAAGAGGAGAUUCUAAAAAUAUGUUCCAAACAUGGCUACAGAAACAGUGACAAUCACAAAAAGGAUCUUGCCAGCAAAAUUGGAUGCUGAGACCUUUCUAAACAGUAGAAGUACAACAGAAGCACUGCAAAGACAAGAAUUAGAAGUUACUGUGUGGAUGGCACUUUCCAAAACAGGUCUUGUGUUUAAGCAUUUUUGCUGACCAUAUCUCAUCAGAUCUGGCAGCCAUUCAGAGAGAGCUUCUUUUACUGAGAGAUGAAGAAAGAUCAUCACACUAGAGAAGUGAAUAACCUUGGUUUUUACUGUUCCUCAUGUGCCCUUUUUAUCUGGGUACACAUUACAUGAAAAAAAUACCACCAAACCUAUAUCAAAGGUAACUUUAAAUUUGUGGCAGGUAUCCCUUUUUUAAUCUGCCUUACUUUCCUGUUCUUAGAGUCCAAAGGCCAGCUGAAUUACUUGGAAGCCACAUUGGCUGUGUGAGAUACCUGAUCCUUCUGCCUGCAGCUGAGUGCAGUGUGCCACCUCCAUUUCUCUAACCUGUGUGAAUUGUGCCUAGGCACUUCAAUGUUGGAUUUCUGUGUAUUUAGCAAGGAAAGUUAAAGAAAAAGCCUCUCUUGCACACAUUUUUUUUAGCAGAGAGACAGAUGUAUUCAAAGUUUCAGCUCAGACUUGAACCAGUUCAUAUUAAAACCAUUUUAUUGUUCCAUAGCAUGGCUUCCUCUGCUUGGACUCACAAUCAAUACUCCUGUCAAGAGUGGCCAACUUAAAUAAUUCUUCUUGAGAGUAAAGCUUUCAGUAUUAAAUCCUUGACUGAAUUUUCCUGGGAGAGAUUGAAUCACACAGAGCUUUCAUCAUCUGGAAAGAUCUGAGAAGAAUAUUGUGUAUCAUAUCCAAGCUCCCACAAGUCAGGCUUUACUGGUGGUGUUUCAGAGCCUGUCUGUUCACUCAGACUUCAGACUGUCUGCAGAAGUGGUCAUUUACUCUAUGGAAAAGCAUUCGUGGAAGAUGAAUAUUACCCAAGUCAAAUUAGCUUGAGGGCCAGCACCUUCUCUCCUCUCUCAGUUCCUGUGGGACCCUUGCAGUGAGGCUUUCCAGGAGAAAUGUGGUUAUAAAAACCUGUCCCUUGGUUGUUAACUCCACUGGGGCUGCUGAUCCACGCUGCUCUUUUACCCCAGCACAAUGCCUUGCACUGUUCAGGGCACAGUAGAAUCAUCAAAUUAUUAAAGAUUACUACAUGAGUCAGAGGUACAGGGAAAUUGAGUUUUCCAGCAGAUUUUGCUGUGCCCAGUGUUUUACCCAGAAAUAGCACCUGUACUGCUCCUGUUUUUUAAAAACUGAGCAGAAAUUCCUCUGGCAUGAACCAUGGUUUAUACACCACCUUUCUGACCCCUCCUGGUGCUGCACUGUUAGAGCAAUAGCCACCACAAAAACAGUGUAAAACAAAGUUGACAACUCCAAAAGGAAACAAAGAACUGGCACAAACACAUUGAGGAAAGGGUGAGUUCAAGUGGAAGUUUGGCUUGAGGCCGGACAAACACACGAGUUUGCAGACAAGCAUCCAAAUGCAGCCUUUAUUAUUUUUUAUCUUCCUGGAAGAUGGGAAGGUGAGGGACAGCUCAGAGAUGAUACAAAACUUGCUGCAGAGUAUUCUCAUGUUACCCAUUGAGCACAGGCAGCAGCUUCUGGGAGCCCCCUGCCAGGUGUUUGGGUAGGAUCCCCAGACACCCAGUAAAUGGCACUGGAUAAAUGGAUAAAUCCCCUUCCCUGGAAGCAGCACACAGAUUUGGGUACCAAGGCUGUACCUGCAGCCAGGCCCUCUGGGUACUCAGAGCUUUGGAAGAGUGUCCUGCUGCUCUGGCUGCGUUUGUGGGCAGCCCUCUCCCCCCUGGGGAAGGGUGAGUUAACCUAAAGCACCUUACCACAGUCCUCAUCCUACUCCUUGGCAAAGUCUCCCAUUCCUUCAGUCACAGGCAGCUCAGCAGAAGAGAUUUAUGCCUCUCCCAAACAGCACAAUAGAAAUAGCAACAAAGAUGCUGCAACAGUUGCCAUAACAACUGCUUUUAACUGGAAGAGGAGCAAGGAAUACAAUUCCUUUUCAUCCACAAACUAACAAUGUGUUCAUUAUUGCAAAGCAGACCUUUGUAAAGAGCUGAAUUCUAUUAAAGUUGUUACCCUAUUUUAGAUCUGUCUUUUAUGCUUCAGAAUAAUAACAAUUCUAAUUAAUACCUUAGGUUCUGGCAUAUCCUUCUCCAACUUCCUGCCCACAUAUAAAACCCAAGGUUUUUUUUGACAAAAUUACUGAAACAGAGAUAACAUCAGCUUAGAUGUAGAAAACAUCACCUGUAAUUCACAGGCAGUUUGAGACCAUGUUUGUCUUAAAGAUAAGUUAUAGUGAUCAGUAACAGCACAAUGCAGCAGUGACCACAGAGAUCAAAAUAUUUUCCUUUAUCUCAUUAUUCACCAGUCUGUAAAAAGGGGACAGGGGCUGAAUUUCACAUAUGUUGUCAUUUUGGAAGACUGCACUUGUUUCAGUCCUCUCUACACAAACAGGGACAGCUACCACAGCACUGCUUUGGGCUGAAACACCUGCUGGGGACCAGGAAGGAAGAGCCACCCUCAGCUGUGGCUGCAGACACUUGCACAGGGCCAGAGAGAGAAGAGAAAAAGAGUUCUUGCCAAAGGGUGCAAGACACACAGGGGUGACCAAUCUGUGCUUCAAAGUGCAGCACCUUGCAUGAGAUACCUGGAGUGACAGACUCAGAUCAGAAAAUAAAUCCCAAUUCCAAAGGUAGGAGGGAUUCUCC
This 4297-nucleotide long non-coding RNA is filed under the name Cyanistes caeruleus (blue tit). RNAcentral describes it as "lncRNA (ENSCCEG00000008993.1)". Lineage: Eukaryota; Metazoa; Chordata; Aves; Passeriformes; Paridae. The record is from RNAcentral.